This 441-nucleotide ribosomal RNA is filed under the name uncultured bacterium. RNAcentral's name for it is "bacterial SSU rRNA". It matches the Rfam family "Bacterial small subunit ribosomal RNA", at positions 355 to 787 of the family's 1533-position model. The record is from RNAcentral.
UGGGGAAUAUUGGACAAUGGGCGAAAGCCUGAUCCAGCCAUGCCGCGUGUGUGAAGAAGGUCUUCGGAUUGUAAAGCACUUUAAGUUGGGAGGAAGGGCAGUCAGCGAAUACCUUGCUGUCUUGACGUUACCGACAGAAUAAGCACCGGCUAACUCUGUGCCAGCAGCCGCGGUAAUACGGAGGGUGCAAGCGUUAUCCGGAUUUACUGGGUUUAAAGGGUGCGUAGGUGGGUCUGUAAGUCAGUGGUGAAAUCCCCAAGCUUAACUUGGGAACUGCCGUGGAUACUAUCAAUCUUGAAUAUCGUGGAGGUAAGCGGAAUAUGUCAUGUAGCGGUGAAAUGCUUAGAUAUGACAUAGAACACCAAUUGCGUAGGCAGCUUACUACACGAUCAUUGACGCUGAGGCACGAAAGCGUGGGGGAGCAAACAGGAUUAGAUACCC